RNAcentral lists this ribosomal RNA (369 nucleotides) under uncultured bacterium. RNAcentral describes it as "bacterial SSU rRNA". It matches the Rfam family "Bacterial small subunit ribosomal RNA", at positions 525 to 896 of the family's 1533-position model. The record is from RNAcentral.
ACGGAGGAUGCAAGCGUUAUCCGGAUUCAUUGGGUUUAAAGGGUGCGUAGGCGGCUUUUUAAGUCAGUGGUGAAAUCUUGCCGCUUAACGGUAAAAUUGCCAUUGAUACUGAAGAGCUUGAGUACAUUUGAGGUAAGCGGAAUGUGUAGUGUAGCGGUGAAAUGCUUAGAUAUUACACAGAACACCAAUUGCGAAGGCAGCUUACUAAACUGUUACUGACGCUGAUGCACGAAAGCGUGGGGAGCGAACAGGAUUAGAUACCCUGGUAGUCCACGCCGUAAACGAUGUUCACUCGCUGUUUGCGAUACACAGCAAGCGGCCAAGCGAAAGCAUUAAGUGAACCACCUGGGGAGUACGAUCGCAAGGUUG